RNAcentral lists this ribosomal RNA (497 nucleotides) under uncultured bacterium. RNAcentral describes it as "partial 16S ribosomal RNA". It matches the Rfam family "Bacterial small subunit ribosomal RNA", at positions 28 to 507 of the family's 1533-position model. The record is from RNAcentral.
GACGAACGCUGGCGGCGUGCUUAACACAUGCAAGUCGAACGGUGAAGCGCCUUCCUUUUUUGUGUGUUUUUAUGAGUGGCGAACGGGUUAGUAACACGUGAGUAACCUUCUCCCUUCUUCUUGAUAACCGCAUGCAAGUGUUGCUAAUACGGGAUAUUCUGGGUCUGUCGCAUGAUGGGUCUGGGAAAGAUUUUGUUUCGGUGGUGGAUGGGUUCGCGGUCUAUUAGCUUGUUGGUGGGGUGAUGGCCUACCAAGGCAGCGAUGGAUAGCCGCCCUGAGAGGGGGAUCGACGGCCCAAGUGCGACGGAGACACGGACAAGACUACGACGGGAGGCAGCAGUGGGGAAUACUGAACAGGGGGAGGAAGGACGGUGCAGCGACGCGUCGGGGGGGAUGGAGGUCUUCGGGUUGUGAACCUCUUUCGCGAGUGAAGCAGGCUUGACUCGUUUGUGGGUGGCUUGACGGUAGCUGGACAAGAAGCGACGGCUAACUACGUG